GACGAACGCUGGCGGCGUGCUUAACACAUGCAAGUCGAACGGAAAGGUCCUGCUUUUGUGGGGUGCUCGAGUGGCGAACGGGUGAGUAACACGUGAGUAACCUGCCCUUGACUUUGGGAUAACUUCAGGAAACUGGGGCUAAUACCGGAUAGGAGCUCCUGCUGCAUGGUGGGGGUUGGAAAGUUUCGGCGGUUGGGGAUGGACUCGCGGCUUAUCAGCUUGUUGGGGGGGUAGUGGCUUACCAAGGCUUUGGCGGGUAGCCGGCCUGGGAGGGUGACCGGCCACAGUGGGACUGAGAUACGGCCAAGACUCCUACGGGAAGCAGAAGUGGGGAAGAGUGCACAAUGGGAGGAAGCGUGAUGCAGCAACGCCGCGUGCGGGAUGACGGCCUUCGGGUUAGAAACCGCUUUCGCCUGUGACGAAGCGGGAGUGACGGUAAUGGGUAAAGAAGCACCGGCUAACUACGUG
This 468-nucleotide ribosomal RNA is filed under the name uncultured bacterium. Its description in RNAcentral is "partial 16S ribosomal RNA". It matches the Rfam family "Bacterial small subunit ribosomal RNA", at positions 28 to 507 of the family's 1533-position model. The record is from RNAcentral.